CUCACUCAACGCUCCUCCACGUGCUCUGCCAACGAGAUCCACCGACGCCACCCCCACCAACUCAAAGUUUGUGCCCGUCCUCGACCUGGCGGCGUGGUCAAUGGUCGUUGACGAUGUAGAUGCUAGAGCCCGGGUUGGGGGUGGCGGCCUUGCUGGCAAAGCGCUGCGUCGAGGCCUGGAUUGGGGCGCGGCCUUGCUAGAGGAGAAAGAUGGAUGGGAGAAAGGAAGAAAAAAAAAUCUCGCUUGUAGGUUUUGAAUCUUCUUCUAGAGUUCCUACCUCCUCCAAUAAUGCAAGCAGCAGGCAGGCAGGCAAAGCUGCAGGGGGCUAAUGAAUGGCAAUGAAGACACCGUCCAUUAAUUCUCCACCGACCUGCUGCCGCUCUCCUCAUCUCACUCUUUCUUCAGCUCGCGAGCUUGCAGCCACUCCUUCCCCCGCCGGCCAGCUUGCAGCAGCAGCUCUCCUCUCCCGCCGGCCGCCGCCAGUCCGCUAUCCCCAUCUAUUUUCUCACAAACACCACACCAGUACGUGCCCCACUCCACCGCGCCUCCGCCGGCCGUUCGUCUCUCCCUCUCGCUCUGCGUUGCGCUCCGUCAAUCAGAAUCAGGGACCCCCUUUCCUUAUCCGUCUCGGCUCGGUUCUCUCUGUAUUUUAUCGGGGAUCUAGAAUUCUAGGGUUCCCCUUCCUGCAAACAACCGAGGCAGGCAGGCAGAUAGAUCCGCCUUCUCCUGUCCCUGCAACUGCAAGCUGACCCACCCAGACCCAGGUAGGCAGGUACCUCCAUCGCCUUCGCUAUCUCCAAUCUGGGAAGCUGCUGCUGCUGCUGCUUAUGUGGAUCUGCACUCUGCGGAUUCAUCAUUCAGUUGAUCGCUGCUCUCCGCCAGACCAAUUUUUUAACCACCAUUUUGCUGCCCCAGGCUCGCAGCACAGCAAGGUGGGCCAAAUCAGAAUUACUGCUUUCUAUUUGCAUUAGUUUGUUCUCUAGUGGCAUAUAUCCAGAUAUACUACUUCAUCAGCCCAGUGGCAAGGUGCGCCGGCUCGCCCCCAGACGGCGAUUUUACGCGCCCCUUGGGGGGCCAACGGCCGGAGAUGCUCUAAACCGCGCAACAAGGCUACCGGCUACUCAGAUGGGUCUCUUCGCCAGCUAGCUGCUCCUGACCCAAGGCCAAGGGUUUGCUGUGUCUGCAAUGUCUGGCUGCACACCCAUUUGUUAUAUCUUGUAUUUUGAGCAGGUCCAUAUACCCUAUAUAUAUACACGCCCACAAACCUCAGCAAUAACACAUCAACAAUUCCACCAACUCUAUUCUCUUACACUUUCAGAUCAGAAUUAAUUGCUAUACAGCUGCCUACCAGCUACUCUUUCACAGCAAAGGUUGAAAGUGAAAACAUGGCAAAAGAACAUUUCAGACAACGUACGAUGAUACGAGAAUACUUAGUUAAAAUGAAUAUGCACAUAAAUUCUUCUUCUACACGUCAGCCUUGUGCUGGGAUCGGUGGGUGAACUCAAAGUCAAUGUUGACGAAUGUGUGUUCACGCAUGCCCGGAAUAUAUUCAAAGUUCUUACCGAGUAAUGUGUGAGAGGACAGACACUCAGCGGGAGACGCGGGAGAGGUGCUCUCUGGGUGAUUCAACAAUCGCCUGGCUGUGCUAGGGGAAAUGUGUACUGGGUUUUCAUCUCAGGCUCCGUUGCUGGGAGUUAUUAGAAGUUUUGAGGAUAUGUUAACUGGCCUCACUUUUGGGAACCGGAUCCUCUAACAUUAAGAAGGAAAGUUAGAGAAGCUACAAUCCCCUAACUUUACUUCUUGCAAUCCAUAUGAUUAAGGCUAAAAUGAUUUAAAUUAAUAUAUAAAUUACAGAUUUAAUGUGUAAAUUCAUAAUCAUUACAUACAAACAAUUUGAUGGUGAAAUAAAAUUAAUUAUAGAUUAUUUAUAUCUACAGUAAAUAUCAAUAAUAAAUAAUCCGCUAAACGUCUCUAACAUUCCUUCUUCAUUUUACACUACGAUUACACUAUAGCAUCGUGACUUUGCUUCUCUAAGUUAGAGGAUUUCCUCACUUUUGUGGGUCUACCCUGGUCUGUAAUAGAUAGGUUGGAACUAAGUAGGUGCUGUCAGGUUUUCGCCCCAUGGUGCUCGUUUCGAUGGCGGGCGAGCACAGCGGGUUUCCUGGCAGUGCGUUGAACUCGCUGCCUCUUUUCCUUCUCUCACUGAUUGUGUCGGAUACUGUUGUAUUUCCGUUUAUUGCAAAUGGAAAGGGGCAUGCCCGGUUAAAAAAAAAGUACUUACCGAGUAUGCAUUAAACUAUGAAAAGUCCUAAAUGCAUAUAAAUAUAGCCCUAGAUUUCAAAUUCCAUACCUGUGUUUCCAAACAAUUCUAUUUUUAUAUCAAGUACGAAGAGUCGAGAGUGUGUGUGAUACCGUCAGUGACAGAGGUUCUACGUGACUGCCUCCCAUCAGAGACUGAGGUUAUCAAGCAAAUGGGUUUGACGAUGGGUAUGCCCUCUUCGUGGUUUCCUGGAGACUGGAACUAACAUCUUCUUCCCUUGCCCUACUGUCCAUUUUCUUUGGUGCUUUGCCCGACAUGAGUGAAUUUCUGGAAACUCGGGUCAACCGACCGGGAGGAGGAAAUGCCUCUUCUGGUUAGUGUUUGCGGUGAUGAUAUGAACUAUUUGGACGACGCGCGCGUAACAAGAUGGUUAUCGAGCGAGUGUUUUUACGGUGGGCCACUAAUUGCAUUUUCAAAUUUCUAGCACUUUUACAAUAUCAUCGCCCACUCUCUAGACCGUCUUGCCUGGAUGAUGGACGCAUUGACUUCGGCAGCACGCCGUCCUUCUCCUUCAGCAAGCCACUAAUCUACUGACCCUUUGUGGCCUAUCUCUUUUAUUUGGGCAUGUUGAAGUUGUUGCCCCAACAGAGACCUUUCUUGUAUUUGAACUUGGUGUAUGGAUUUGGUGGUUGCUUUCAAGAGAGAGUGUGAUACCAGCCGGUUAUUGAACCUCAGAAUUAUGAUGGGUGCAUUUAACCAGAAAUUCAGAAGAGCCAAGGAUCCAUAGACGCCCCACUCUACAAUUUUGAUUAUUAUUUUUGUGUUGAAGACAAGCAGCUACACUCUAGAAACUUUUCA
Molecule: long non-coding RNA, 3118 nt
Organism: Triticum aestivum (bread wheat)
Lineage: Eukaryota; Viridiplantae; Streptophyta; Magnoliopsida; Poales; Poaceae
Exons: 3
Source: RefSeq, a predicted model, not a curated record